CCGAGGAGGAGCCUGCGGCGGAUUAGCUUGUUGGUGGGGUAAUGGCCUACCAAGGCGACGAUCCGUAGCUGGUCUGAGAGGACGAUCAGCCACACUGGGACUGAGACACGGCCCAGACUCCUACGGGAGGCAGCAGUGGGGAAUCUUGCGCAAUGGGCGGAAGCCUGACGCAGCGACGCCGCGUGCGGGAAGAAGGCCUUCGGGUUGUAAACCGCUUUCAGGAGGGACGAAGCCACUCGGGUUAAUAGCCCAGAGGGUGACGGUACCUCCAGAAGAAGCCCCGGCUAACUACGUGCCAGCAGCCGCGGUAAUACGUAGGGGGCAAGCGUUGUCCGGAUUUAUUGGGCGUAAAGAGCGUGUAGGCGGCCAGGUAGGUCUGCUGUUAAAACUCGAGGCUCAACCUCGAGAGGUCGGUGGAAACCAUCUGGCUAGAGUCCGGAAGAGGAGAGUGGAAUUCCCGGUGUAGCGGUGAAAUGCGCAGAUAUCGGGAAGAACACCUAUGGCGAAGGCAGCUCUCUGGGACGGUACUGACGCUGAGACGCGAAAGCGUGGGGAGCGAACAGGAUUAGAUACCCUGGUAGUCCACGCCGUAAACGAUGGGUGCUAGGUGUGGGCGGUGUCGACUCCGUCCGUGCCGAAGCUAACGCAUUAAGCACCCCGCCUGGGGAGUACGGCCGCAAGGCUAAAACUCAAAGGAAUUGACGGAAUCGAAUU
This 714-nucleotide ribosomal RNA is filed under the name uncultured bacterium. RNAcentral's name for it is "bacterial SSU rRNA". It matches the Rfam family "Bacterial small subunit ribosomal RNA", at positions 219 to 925 of the family's 1533-position model. The record is from RNAcentral.